AGCAAGCCGCCGCGCCGCCAGUGUCCCCGCCCAGCUGGUGCUGAUGAGGCGCACAGGUGAACCUCCGCGCUGACCUGCUCCUGCCACCGCCGCCGCCGCCGCCUUCUUCGCGCUGAUUAGCCGCUCGCGACCUUUUCGCGCAUGAAAUGAUCCUGCAGACAGUGGAAGAUGUGGAAGUUACUGAGAAACAAGAUGAAUCAACUGGGCAGAGGUAAUGUUCUGGAAACUGACUAAAGGAAAAAAGAUAUUGCAUCAUCUGGGAUGUGCAUCAUCAUUAGUUUUGCCUCCUGGACCUAUUAUGAACACCCAGCUGCAUAAAGAUGUUGCGCCUCAAGUAAUGCAAGUUUCUUGGCAGCAUUUUGUUUUCAAACACCAUUUUGCUUGAAAAAAACCAACUACGAUACCUUCCCUAUGGUAGAAGAUAUGGUUUACAGUUCAGAUUAUUAAGGAAAACCAAGAGGUCAAAUCAGGAUGGUCUUUUGGAGUACAAAUAGUGUACACAAAGUACUACCAGGGUUGUUGAUGAUCCAGAACUUUUGGUUUAAAGCCAGAUUUUUAAAAUAAUCAUCACUUCUCAAACUCUUGGAUGGAUUAUUGAGUCAUCCUACAAACCUUUUAGUCCCUGAGCUUUUCCGCUCUACUGGCAGACUGCUGUGUGGAUAAUUCUUAUUAUUUGUUCUGCAGAGAAACAGACUUGACUUUUGAGAUAUGAAUAUGUAUGGUGAAAGGAUAGCAUGACAGUAAUGCACAACUCCUUGAAAUAUUUUGCUCAAGACAGCAGAUGUUAAAAAAAACCAACCCUUUAACUUUCAAAUCAUUUGGUUUCUGUAGUGAAUAUAUUAAGGCUAUUUCCACAAUCACUGGGAAGCAGGUUAAGGGAGCUUGGUCCGCUUCCCAGUAAUCAUGGGAACCACUGGGCUCGCGAGCCCGGAGCUCCCAAGGUGAUCGGUGACACAUGAGUAGACCCCCAACCGGGAGGCUACAGCCAGCCUCCCAGGCUCGGGGGUCUCUCCAGGAUGCCCCACACACUCACACGGGGCAUCCUGGGACUUUUGGGGGCUGCUUGGCCCCCAAUCCUUGCAGUCCCCACUGGCUCUGUGACGGAGCUGGCAGUUGUGUGGGCAGCUGAUCUGGCUGCCCAGGGGGGCUGCACUUUGGUCGUCUGUGAGGAGAGUGGGCUAAGACUGCUUUCCUCACAAACCCAACAGAAGCUCUUCUCAUGGAUCGUGAGAAGAGCUUCAAUGUGUACUACAUUCUAAUGCAUUUUGAGUGGUUUUUCAAGAGAACUUGAAUACUUUGAGAACUAUUAUUAAUGCAAUAAUAAUUGAAAUUACCACACUCAUUGCUGCAUUUUUAUUUGACAUUCUUAAAAUAUGUUAUAGAUGUUAAGAUAAUGAAGCUUUACAUAAAGCUUUGAGAUAUUAUUAACUACAUUUGUAAUAAUGGAUAAGCUAGGUCACGUGGAGAGCUAGAGAGGCCAUCAGUGCAACAAAGGUUCUUAUCUUGGGACACUCUAGGCUUCACUGGUGUUGCUGACCAUGCAGAUGGCACCCACACAUGUGUGGAUACCAUGUGCAUGCUGAUGGUGCACUGGGCUUUUUGGGACAUGCGCUACCCCAGAAGGAAGCAGGGAAGGGCAGUUCAGAGCAGGUAAGUACCUGCUCUCCAUUUUCUUAAAGUGCCCUUUUUAAUUUCCCUCAAAGUCAACUGUACUUCGAACUGAAGUUUGAGCACAUCCCUAGUUCAAGGUCUGUCUCAGUGCCUUGUAGGGUCCCUGAUUCUUUUCAGGGCUUUGAGGAGAUUCCCACUUCACUCCAGCCCUUCUUUCCAUCUGUUCCUAAUAUCCAUACACUUCCAGAAGGUGCUUAAGUAAAUAAGCAGAACCCUCUAAGAUAGUGAGCCAGACUUUAGCUGGCCCUGAUGGGAUUCGUAUUGCAGAUAGCAAAGAGCCAGCGUGGUAUACUGGUUAGAGUGCUGGACUUGGAGCGGGGAGACUCGAGUUCAAAUCCCCAUUCAGCAUUGAAACUAGCUGGGUGACUCUGGGCCAGUCACUUCUCUCUCAGCCUAACCUACUUCACAGGGUUGUUGUGAAAGAGAAACUCAAGUAUGUAGUACACUGCUCUGGGCUCCUUGGAGGAAGAGUGGGAUAUAAAUGUAAAUAAAUAAUAAUAAUAAUAAUAAUAAAUUAAUAAUUGUCAUAUGGCAAUGGCAGAACCUUUAGGAAGUGGAGUCAGUGGGUUGGUUUCAGUUUCAGUCACCUAUGAUAUCACAUAUCCCACCUACCUCCACAAAUGAAUCCCACUGGUGAAGAGAAACCGCCCCCCACCCUUGUCAUCGGAAUGCCAAAGAACAGAGGAGGAUUCCAGCUCUUGUUUCCCCUCAUUAGAAAGGCAUCAUGUGUCAACGGUGCAAACUGCAGAACUAAUGCUUCAUGUUAUAAACAAAGGGUUGUUUUUGCCCCAAUGUAAAGAAUACUUCCAGGUGCUUCUAUGUUCACACAGUUUCUCCAUACAUGCAGAUUUUCUCAUUCACUUCCACACAGGGAAGAUACUUUGAGAACACAAAAGGAUAUAGGUGCAAGAUUUUGAACCAUUCGGCUCUAGGGCAUCUUAGGAUAGUGGACUGAAGGCUGCUGGUGAGGUUAAAAAGCAGCUUUAGAAGUCAUAAGGAUUCAUUUUUAUCAGCUUGAUAAGUUUGUGCAUUUCUGCAAAACAUGAAAAAUAAAAGAUAUACCAAAAAAGGGUGACAGAGAAUCGGUGAGUGACUCUUUCUUCGUGUGUGUGCUCGCGAGCGUGUACGCAUGUGUUUCCUAGGUAACCUGGACAGUGGAAACUUGGAUGUCUCCCUACUGUGAGACGCUUGAGCUCUACACACAUUUGAAACUCACACAUUUCACUACAGGACUGAUAGGCAAGACCGGCUUUGCACAUUAAAUAGCCAACACAAGUCACCUCACUGCUGCUGCUGGUUCAGAGCCCAAAGUUGCCCAUAUAUCCCCCCCUCUUCAAAUCUGAUCCAAAGCAUCCAUAUUAGGUUGCUUUCUUGUGAAUCUGUUUCUUGUUAUAUGAUUAUUCAAGAGUACACAAUGUAUUCUAGGUUAUGGUGAGCAAUUAGAAAGAAAAAAGAGUUCUCUAGAGAAAGCCCCAAGGCUUCAACUGUAAUAUUAUCUUCUAGUUGCAACAUGUGUCCAGCAGUGGUUUCCAUGGAUGCAAACACAAGAAAACAUUGUGCCCAGAUAAGAUGGAGAAUUGAGGUCAAAAGAUCAGCAAGGAGGAUCUAUAUCUGUACCAUCAGGCUUCCACGUACAGAUAUGAAGAAUGGCUGCAGAAACAACAGUCCUUCAUGACGAAGCAUAUGCGAAAACAGCUGAUAUCUAGACAGCUUUUCAAGGACUAUUUGAUUACACCCUGGAAUAUUUGAAUAUGCCUAUCCAAGUUUACUUGUUAAAACCUUGGAAUAUGGAGUAAAGCUUACUAUUUUCUAUAUAUGGGAGACCCAUGAAGAUUUUUACAAGACCAUUAUCCUGGUUGGAGUGAAUUACUGUUCAAUUUUAUUACAGUCAUUGACCAGAAAAGAGAACAUUAAAAAUACAAAUAACAAUGUCAAUAUAACAGAUAUAAAUAAAAUAAAGGAAUAAGAUUAUAAUUAACAAUGGUAAAAUAUCCAACUAAGGAGUAUUAAUAACCUCCAAAUGUAUCCUACCCACAAUGUAACAAAAUUUGGCAACCUUCCACAAUCUGGAGGUCUUAGAGGACAGCACUCUGGUGGUCUAUGCAUAUCUGUUAAUACUUCUCUUAAGGUCUCUAUAUUCCCAUUAUCUAGCUGUGAGCACUUUGCAAUGGCCCUGAAACUUGUCUCUGACUCUAUAUCGUUAUUGGUUAUUAAUGUGUACAUCCCUCCAGACGCCCAAGUGAAUUACUGAAGAAAUUUAAUCCUUUGGGUCCAUGCAGAAGUUCAGCUUCUCCUUUUACAUUAUUGCAUUUCCAAGAGUUUAUUUCUAUCUAUUUAUGGCAUUUUUGCGAUGGGCUUCACUGUUUUCAAUCCUCCUCUAGUAUUGGAUGGAUUUUUCUACCUGAUUAUGGACUUUUACUCUUUGGAUACUGGAAUAUUCAUCAGCACUUAUGUAUAGCUUUAGUAUAGUUUUUUUAUUAUAAUUGCUUAUAUUCUCAUAUAUUUUUGUUUAUGGUUAUCUAUCUUGUAAUUAUAUUGAUUGCAUUGAUAUUCUAUAUUGUAACAUAUGAAUUGUGACUUAGAAUCUAUACAAAUUUUUGAGCAUGUUUAAUAUGUUUCAUUAGUUUUUCACUGCAUCAGCAGGAGAAAAUAAUAAAAAGACUGAAACCACAGUUAUAUAUGUCACUGUUUGAAAGUAGAUAAGUGGAGAGGACCUUGAUAA
Hemicordylus capensis (graceful crag lizard) is the source of this 4393-nucleotide long non-coding RNA. RefSeq lists it as uncharacterized. The transcript has 4 exons. The record is from RefSeq and is a predicted model, not a curated record. Lineage: Eukaryota; Metazoa; Chordata; Lepidosauria; Squamata; Cordylidae.